Molecule: small nuclear RNA, 162 nt
Organism: Medicago truncatula (barrel medic)
Lineage: Eukaryota; Viridiplantae; Streptophyta; Magnoliopsida; Fabales; Fabaceae
Rfam family: U1 spliceosomal RNA
About the family: U1 is a small nuclear RNA (snRNA) component of the spliceosome (involved in pre-mRNA splicing). Its 5' end forms complementary base pairs with the 5' splice junction, thus defining the 5' donor site of an intron.
Source: Rfam
UCACUUACCUGGAUGGGGUCAAUGGGUGAUCAAGAAGGCCCAUGGCCUAGGCAAGUGACCUCCAUUGCACUUUGGAGGGGUGCUAGCCUAAGGUCUACCCCAAGUGGUGGAGCCUACAUCAUAAUUUGUUGCCGUGGGGGUUUGCGUUCGCGCAGCCCCUUC